GUGAGGAAUUUUCCGCAAUGGGCGAAAGCCUGACGGAGCAAUGCCGCGUGAAGGAUGAAGGCCUAUGGGUUGUAAACUUCUUUUCUCAGAAAAGAAUUAUGACGGUAUCUGAGGAAUAAGCAUCUGCUAACUCUGUGCCAGCAGCCGCGGUAAGACAGAGGAUGCAAGCGUUAUCCGGAAUGAUUGGGCGUAAAGCGUCUGUAGGUUGUUUAAAAAGUAUUCUGUCAAAGAUUAGGGCUUAACCCUAGAUAGGCAGAAUAAACUUUUAAGCUAGAGUUUGGUAGAGGCAGAGGGAAUUCCCGGUGGAGCGGUGAAAUGCGUAGAUAGCGGGAGGAACACCAAAGGCGAAGGCACUCUGCUGGGCCAAUACUAACACUGAGAGACGAAAGCGAGGGGAGCAAAUGGGAUUAGAUACCCUAGUAGUCC
RNAcentral lists this ribosomal RNA (426 nucleotides) under uncultured bacterium. RNAcentral describes it as "partial 16S ribosomal RNA". It matches the Rfam family "Bacterial small subunit ribosomal RNA", at positions 354 to 796 of the family's 1533-position model. The record is from RNAcentral.